UACGGAAGGUCCGGGCGUUAUCCGGAUUUAUUGGGUUUAAAGGGAGCGCAGGCGGGCUUUUAAGCGUGACGUGAAAUGUAGAUGCUCAACAUCUGAACUGCGUCGCGAACUGUAGGCCUUGAGUGAGUACAACGGAGGCGGAAUUCGUGGUGUAGCGGUGAAAUGCUUAGAUAUCACGAAGAACCCCGAUUGCGAAGGCAGCCUCCGAGUCCUUUACUGACGCUAAAGCUCGAAAGUGCGGGUAUCGAAC
This 250-nucleotide ribosomal RNA is filed under the name uncultured prokaryote. Its description in RNAcentral is "partial 16S ribosomal RNA". It matches the Rfam family "Bacterial small subunit ribosomal RNA", at positions 524 to 773 of the family's 1533-position model. The record is from RNAcentral.